RNAcentral lists this small RNA (1852 nucleotides) under Pan troglodytes (chimpanzee). RNAcentral's name for it is "retained intron". Lineage: Eukaryota; Metazoa; Chordata; Mammalia; Primates; Hominidae. The record is from RNAcentral.
CUAGGCCGGGCCCUGCCAGGGAGCAAGUCUGCAUCACAGAGGCCAGGGCAGAGUGGCUCCUCACAGCCUGAAGCUCAUCCUUCUGCACGGGCCGGCCAGGCCAGCACAGAGGCACCGGGGCAGCAGUGCACACAGGUCCCCGGGGACCCCACCAUGUGGACCGGAUGGUGGCUCUGGCCCCUUGUGGCCGUCUGCACUGCAGACUUCUUUCGGGACGAGGCAGAGAGGAUCAUGAGGGACUCCCCUGUCAUUGAUGGGCACAAUGACCUCCCCUGGCAGCUGCUGGAUAUGUUCAACAACCGGCUGCAGGACGAGAGGGCCAACCUGACCACCUUGGCCGGCACACACACCAACAUCCCCAAGCUGAGGGCCGGCUUUGUGGGAGGCCAGUUCUGGUCCGUGUACACGCCCUGCGACACCCAGAACAAAGACGCUGUGCGGAGGACACUGGAGCAGAUGGACGUGGUCCACCGCAUGUGCCGGAUGUACCCGGAGACCUUCCUGUAUGUCACCAGCAGUGCAGGCAUUCGGCAGGCCUUCCGGGAAGGGAAGGUGGCCAGCCUGAUCGGCGUGGAGGGCGGCCACUCCAUUGACAGCAGUCUGGGCGUCCUGCGGGCACUCUAUCAGCUGGGCAUGCGGUACCUGACCCUCACCCACAGCUGCAACACGCCCUGGGCUGACAACUGGCUGGUGGACACGGGAGACAGUGAGCCCCAGAGCCAAGGCUUGUCACCCUUUGGGCAGCGUGUGGUGAAGGAGCUGAACCGUCUGGGAGUCCUCAUCGACUUGGCUCACGUGUCUGUGGCCACCAUGAAGGCCACCCUGCAGCUGUCCAGAGCCCCGGUCAUCUUCAGCCACUCCUCGGCCUACAGCGUGUGCGCAAGCCGGCGCAACGUGCCUGACGACGUCCUGAGGCUGGUGAAACAGACAGACAGCCUGGUGAUGGUGAACUUCUACAACAAUUACAUUUCCUGCACCAACAAGGCCAACCUGUCCCAAGUGGCCGGUAGGUGGGGUGUGAGCGGCCAAGGGGGCCGAAGGGGGAGGGCCUCACUUGGGACCCAUACCUGCUGCUCCCUGGACAGACCAUCUGGAUCACAUCAAGGAGGUGGCAGGAGCCGGAGCCGUGGGUUUUGGUGGGGACUUUGAUGGUGUUCCAAGGUAAGGGGGUGAGAGCUCUGUCCUGUGGAUGAGCCGGGAGGUUCAUGGCCUCGUCAGAGGGAUGAGGCGGCUGGAGGAGGGACCUGUGUCCUAGUGUGGGGGCCCAGGUUCUCCUGGCCUCAACACAGGGUCCCUGAGGGGCUGGAGGACGUCUCCAAGUAUCCAGACCUGAUCGCUGAGCUGCUCAGGAGGAACUGGACGGAGGCGGAGGUCAAGGGCGCACUGGCUGACAACCUGCUGAGGGUCUUCGAGGCUGUGGAACAGGUGAGGACGGGGUGGCCACCCGAGUCUCCCCCACCACCACCAGCAGGCAGGCUGCCCCACCUGUGUCUGUCUGUCCUCAGGCCAGCAACCUCACACAGGCUCCCGAGGAGGAGCCCAUCCCGCUGGACCAGCUGGGCGGCUCCUGCAGGACCCAUUACGGCUACUCCUCUGGGGCUUCCAGCCUCCAUCGCCACUGGGGGCUCCUGCUGGCCUCCCUCGCUCCCCUGGUCCUCUGUCUGUCUCUCCUGUGAAACCUGGGAGACCAGAGUCCCCUUUAGGGUUCCCGGAGCUCCGGGAAGACCCGCCCAUCCCAGGACUCCAGAUGCCAGGAGCCCUGCUGCCCACAUGCAAGGACCAGCAUCUCCUGAGAGGACGCCUGGGCUUACCUGGGGGGCAGGAUGCCUGGGGACAGUUCAGGACACACACA